This 253-nucleotide ribosomal RNA is filed under the name uncultured bacterium. RNAcentral's name for it is "partial 16S ribosomal RNA". It matches the Rfam family "Bacterial small subunit ribosomal RNA", at positions 524 to 776 of the family's 1533-position model. The record is from RNAcentral.
UACGUAGGGACCAAGCGUUGUUCGGAUUUACUGGGCGUAAAGGGCGCGUAGGCGGCUUAACAAGUCACUUGUGAAAUCUCCGGGCUUAACUCGGAACGGCCAAGUGAAACUGUCAAGCUAGAGUGCAGAAGGGGCAAUCGGAAUUCUUGGUGUAGCGGUGAAAUGCGUAGAUAUCGGGAGGAACAUCAGUGGCGAAGGCGGCUACCUGGCCCAAUACUGACACUCAGGUGCGACAGCGUGGGGAGCAAACAGG